AAGGCAUUACGUUGUGCUGGAAGCAUCGUACACAACAGAGAAGCAGCGUCUUGAAUGGCUCGGCCUGGUGGAGUCCAGAGUCCGGUUGCUGGUGGGACUUCUGGAGAUAAACAGGCAGAUCUCCAUGGCACACGUUUAUGUGAAGUCCUUGGCUGGACACAGCAAGGGCAACAAAAAAGACGAAAAGAGCAGAAUGUGGCUGGUGGGGCUCGACUUUAAAGAGGAGGUUUCUGCAUACCUUAAAGACCAGUUGUCCUGCAUCCUCUGCAACUUCACUGCUAUUAUCCACAACGUAGCAGAGAAGGCUAAGGUCCAGGAGAAGGGGGUGUCUGUAACAGCCGCAUACAUCACGAGGAAAGAUCUUUUUUACACUCUGAACCUGAAGCGUGGUUCAAACCCGGCAACAGCACCACCUAGUUACAUGCCGACUGUGACCACAGGACAACAGGGCAUGAAAAGAAAAGCUGAGCCUCAGCGUCAGAUGUCAGCGAAGAAGCUCAAAGCUGACAAGAGCAAAGAAGAACAAAGUGAACAGGCUCUACGCAGUCGAAGACAGGCAUACAGAGCUGCCACCAGAAAAAAUAAAAAAUAAAAAUGAG
This is a long non-coding RNA of Amphiprion ocellaris (clown anemonefish), 599 nucleotides long. Lineage: Eukaryota; Metazoa; Chordata; Actinopteri; Pomacentridae. The record is from Ensembl.